This is an RNA transcript of Capsicum annuum, 5015 nucleotides long. It is a transcript of the gene named protein SENSITIVITY TO RED LIGHT REDUCED 1, with no coding region annotated. The transcript is spliced from 3 exons. The record is from RefSeq and is a predicted model, not a curated record. Lineage: Eukaryota; Viridiplantae; Streptophyta; Magnoliopsida; Solanales; Solanaceae.
AUGGCUGCAUCAACAAAUACACCAGCUCUUGACAAGCCUAACCCAGCUGAAGAUUGGACAGUUGUAUUGCCUCGUGGUGGAAAGCCGAAAAGAAAUUUUCAUAAAGUUAUCAUACGUGUAGGGCAAAAACAAGAACAAUUGUGGACUCCUUCAGAUACUGAAACCAAUCCCGAGAGGGAAUCUAGAUUGAUGCAGAAGAUACAAAGCUGCAUUAAGAAACUUGAGAGCUCCUCCUUCUGGCUGGCAUUUUUGAAUCAGUUACAAACGCCUGAAAUAUUUGAUUGGUUUCAAAAACGUGUGGGCUCAGAAGGAAAGAUGCAGAUGGUAAUAUAUGGAAUUGGUAGCAUAGAAUCGUUUGAGCCUCCUCGAUUACAGCUUAGUCUUGCAAUCUUAAUGAAAAGAAUGUUUAGUUGGAUUGGGGAGGUUGAGGUAUUUGAUCCAGUGAUCUCUUUGGCAGAAUCUAGGGUACUGACAGCUCUUGGCUGUUCUGUCCUAACAAUCAAUGAACAGGGUCGACGUCAAGCUUUAACACCUAUGAUGUUCUUCAUGCCACAUUGUGAAGCUGAACUGUACGACAAUCUUCUAGAGGCAAAUUGGUGUCCUGAUCUAUUGGAUAACAUUACACUGUUUGGGAACAGUUUUGAGGCAUAUGAACAACACUUGUCGGUGUGCAAAAAUCUUAGUCUUGCUGAUUCUAGGAAACAUAUCCUCGCAGUCAGGAAGUUCGUCAAGGAGCUUGCAAUUGAUUCUUCUUCAGAUGAUUAUUUCCGAGCCUUCCAUGGUUCGAGUUGGCAUUUUUUCAAACUUGAUCCUCAUUCAGAUUUAUGUGAUGCUAGACCAUAAACUCUUUCUUGUUUUCUGGAUCAUACUCUUCAUUGAAACUUGAAUAUCACAUUUAAACAAUGCUUGAAUCUCACACAUGGAGGUGGGAGAGUUGAUGCUUUGUGUUCUUUGACUUCGGGCUUCCUUAUGACUCUCUUAAUAAGUGCCAUACAUGAUAAACUGUUGCAGCCAGUGUCAUCCUGAAAAGCUCUGCGUGUGUGGUCCUUCCUUUGGCAUGUGUUGAUGCCCAAGCUAUUUCUCACCCCAUCCCAAGCAAUGUCUGCUGAUACCUUGCCACAACAAUAUCCUCUGCCAAAGGCCAACUGUGAAUUUACAUUCAAAGAACAAGUGUUGGUGAGUUUCAGGUUCUAUAGAACACAGUGGACAUAGCAAACCAGUGGCAAUACCCCAUUUACUCAAUCUAUCUUUAGUGUAUAGCCUCUUUUGAAUAGCAAGAUACAAGAUAAAUUUCCACUCAGGGCUCCCCUGGUUGUUGCAAGUUAAUCUUCUCCACACAACUUUAGAGUGCUGUCCCCUUAACUGAUUAUACAGUCCUUUUAUAGAAUAGGACUCUUCUCCCAUUUCUUCAUUCACAUUAAGACCAGCUUCAGAGAGCCAUUGGGUUGCUUGUAAUAUUUUCCUGACAAUCCAAGAGGCUUGCUUAGCCUCCACUUCCCAUGGCCUCUUCCCCUUCAAGUAGUAAGUGUGUACCCAUACAAUCCAUAGCUUUUCUUCAUCAUUGCCAAGCUCCAUGUAUGUUUUAAUAUAGCUACAUUAUUCCAUAGGAAUAUAUCGAUAAUGUUGAGUCCACCUGCUGAUUUUGGUAAGCACAGUUGGUCCCAUGCUAUUCGGUUUUUCCUCUUUCUUUGGAUAUUACCAGUCAUUUCCUACAAAGAGACUCAACUUGCUAAAGUAUCUUCUUUGGUAGGGGAAAAAUUUGAGACCCAAAAGCUUGGAUUGCAUGUUAAACACUCUGAAUUAAUUGUAAUCUCCCAGCAUAAGAUAGAAAUUUAGUUGUCCAACAAGUAAUUCUACCAAUCAUCUUGUCUAGGCUGACAAUUGACUUAUUGUCAGUUUUUUUGGAGCUCAAAGGGACCCCAAGAUAUUUGAAUGGUAGGGAACCCAAAGUAAGCCCCAGUUGCUGUAAUUUGAUGUUUUGAGCAUCUGCUGCUACUUCCCCAAAAUAAACACAGCUCUUGGCUUCAUUAGCUAUUAAUCCCGAGACUCUCGAAACUGCUGGAAGCAUUCAAAGAGCAGCUUGGCUGAGAUUGUCACGUCUACAAAAUAUUAAGAGGUCGUUAGUAAAACUCAAUUGGAUGAUGUUUAGUUUUUGGCACCUUGGGUGAUAAUUGAAAUCUGGUGCUUAGAGUUUUGAGCAGCCUAGUGAGAUAGUCCAUGCCUAACACAAAGAGGUAGGGAGAGAGAGGGUUUCCUUGUCUCACCCCUCUUUUAGCCUGAAAAGGAUCGGCCGGAUAGCCAUUAAUGAUGAUAGCAUAGGUCACAGUUCUUACACAUCACAUUACCCAAUCCACAAACUUUUUAGGACAGUUCAUACUUCAAGAAACGACCACUCUAAAGUGUCAUAGGCCUUUUGUAUAUCAAUUUUGAAUAGACACCUUGGAGAUAUAUCUUUCCUACCAUACCCUUUUAUUAGUUCACGACUUAGAAGCACAUUAUCAUGAAGCAUCCUCCCCGGAACAAAAGCUGCCUGAGACUUAUCUACAAGGUAGUCCAUAAGAGGUUGUAAUCUAUGUGUAAGCAUUUUCGAGAUAAUUUUAUAGAUGGUGGUUCAUCAAGAUAUGGGUCUAUAGUCUUUAAUUGAACCAGGGUGCUUAAUUUUGGGUAAUGGUAUUGGUUGCAAAAAAGUGAAGUACAGCUUCAGUUACCUCCUUACCUAUUACUGACCAGCUUUGUUUGAAAAAAUGGGAGUUGAAACCAUCAAUUCCUGGAGCCUUAUCAUCAGCAAUCUCUUUAAGGGCAGUCUCAACAUCUAUGUCAGUGAAUGGCUGAAUAAGUUGUAGUUGUUGAGCUCUUGUUGGGCAUUCCUGAUCACUGCAGGGUGAAUAACAGGUAAAUUAGGGGCUGCUUGUCCUAAUAAGGUCUUAUAGAAAUCUACCACUUCAGGUUUGAUAUCCUCUGGGUCUCUGAUAAUAGUGCCAUUAGCUGCAAUGAACACUUUGAUCUGAUUUUGUGCUUUCCUUCCCUUCAUCUGUGCAAAGAAACAAGAGGUGUUUUUUUUGAGAAGGUAACAUUUGUAUUAUAAACCAGCACUUAGGUAGUGCAUAAAACCUCUUUACAAAGUGAGCAUCUAGAUAAAAGAAAAUAGAAAAGGCUCCCCAUCCUAGAAAGCUUCUAAAACUUCUAGGAUAUCGUUAUCCUCUACAGGGGAGUUCUUUGUACACCAAAAACACAAAAGCAAAAUACAGUUUGUCUUAAUCGUCUAAUUGCUCUACUUUUGUCUUCAAAACUUCUAGCAUUUCUCUCCUUCCAAACAGUCCACCAAAUACAAGAUGGGAUAAUUCUCCAAUAGUUCUAGUUCUUUGCUCCCUUCCCAGCUUCCUCCCAACUAGAUAGAGUGUCAACAAUCUUUCUAGGCAUUACCCAUUGUAUGCGUCUGAGAUUGAUGAAAAUCUUCCAUAGUUGGCCGGUGAAUCUGCAAUGCAAAAAUAAAUGUCCCACUGUCUCAGCUACCUCUCCACAUAGACAACAAUGUGUAACUAAAAUUAUAUUCCUCUUCCUCAAAUUUUCAUGUGUUAACACAACCUCCUUUGCUAACAACCAUGAGAAACAUGCAACUUUCUGAGGGGUAUUGGAUUUCCAAAGUUGUUUCCAUGGCCACCUGCUAGCCUGUGGCAUUGUUCUAUUUAGUAACUUGUAUCCAGAGUUGGCCUUAUAUAAAUCCCUUUAUUAUGUUUAUUUCCCCAAAGUUUGUCCUUCGAGUUCUACCUUUCUUCGGAUUUCCCAGUCAAGUUUUCGUCUGAGGCUUAAAUCCCAAUCUUGUGGAGACCACAUAUCAGCCAUAGUUUUGUCUUGUUGUUGAGCAAGAACAGACAAGUCUGGGAACAUCUCUGUAAGACUCCUGUUGCCUAACCACCGGUCUUUCCAAAAGAAAGUUUUGUUACCAUUAUAGACUUUGAUGGCGACGUAGUUUUGCAUUAUAGGCUACCAAUUCCAGAUUGACCUCCAAACAGUUACACCAUAAGGAUUGAUUGCUUCUUUGGUAACCCAACCAUUCACAUCCCCAUACUUCAACCCGAUCACCCUUUUUCAUAAAGUUUGAGACUCUUGAGCAUAUCUCCAUAACCACUUCAUUUUCAGUGCUUUACUUUGAUUCUUCAAGUUUUUGAUACCCAAGCCUCCUUGUUUUUUACUGGUUAUGAAAACUUUCCACUUCACUAGGUAAUACCCUUUCUUGGUUUUGUUACCUUUGACCUCCUGAUUUUAUCCAACCUUUGUACCACACUUGCUGGGAUGAGGAAUAAGGUCAUCAUAUAGGUUGGGAGGGCAUCAAGAACAACAUUGAUCAAAGUAAGUCUGCCUCCAAGAGAGAGAUGUUGAGCGUUCCAUUUGGACAACUUUCUUUCACAUUUCUCCAAAACAUUCUCCAAGAUUUCUUUUGAUCUUGAUUUGGCCCCCAAGAAAUAAGGUGUUUGAAUCACCAAGUUUAACCCAUUGUACUCUUGAUUUUGAUUUCUUCCUGUAGAUGCUUUCCUUAAUUUGACUUCAUUUGUUUAAUUGCAGUUUCAACUCCUAUUCGUCAGCAAACAAAUCUGGUGAUACAGGAGCAUUGCCUGUCUCACCCCUUUCAAAUUCUGCCAUACACCCCUCAAUCCUUGUCCAUGUAUCACCCACUUACCCUGAACUUUAGCUUUGAAUUCAGGGUGCUGAGCAAUGCAAUUGUAAAAUUUGAAAGGCCCGUGCCUGUGCCUGUUAUCAGCUGCUUUCUCCAAGGGGAUGCCGAGCGGGGAGUGAUCAGAGAACUGAGGAUGCAUCACCUAUACUUGGGAUGGAGGCAUGGUCAAUAGCCAGUCUGCAUUUACUAAUGCCUUGUCAAUCCUGCUAUACACAUGUCCAUUCGUCCAAGUGAAUGAUCUCCCUAUUGCUGACAGUUCUGGAAUAUUACAGUAGACUUGUAUUUAUAUACUUGAAAUCCAACUAGAGCAAUUCAAAUGUUUUCUUCAAUUAGGACUAUC